Non-coding RNA from Cyanistes caeruleus (blue tit), 1176 nucleotides. NCBI's taxonomy places the organism in Eukaryota, Metazoa, Chordata, Aves, Passeriformes, Paridae. The record is from RefSeq and is a predicted model, not a curated record.
UAUUAAUUCAUUAAAAAUUACCAGAAGUGGGGGCUCAAUUUGCUGCAAAAGGAGGUGUUAGUUCUGAAAGGUUCAUUUUCAGCACGGUUUUGUGGUUACUGGAAGAUCUUUCAGAGCUGAACCUGGGAACAGCAUCACUCAAUGGCUCGUUAGUUUGAUGAAGUGGCAUAAGUGACUCCAGCUCCCGAGGGUACUCCCAGCUCCGGAACAUUUACACAUCCCCAGGGAAUUCUGAAAAACACCACCAAGUCUUUAGGCCACAUUUCCAACCUCGCUUGUGACGAUCUUGUACCGGGGCCUUCAAGAGAGAGCUCUCCCUCUUCAGUGACCUCAGCCUUGUAACCGAGUUUCUGUUCUUUCCCUCUGAUAGGGAUGUGUUUUGAGGCUUUUUUUGCAUUGGUAUAUCUUGAUCAUUUAUUUGUUUAUACUGUUGAUAAAUGCAUUUUUCUCUCAUAAACACACCCUCCUCCAUCUGCUGUGAAAGGCAAGGGGAACAAUGAAUGGUGUAUUUCAAGGGUCAGGGCUUGUUCUCCUGGCUGGCUGAACAGGUACCUCUCUUCCCAGAACCUGGAUCGGCUUGGGCUGCGUUUUCUCUGUGCUCAGGGUGGGAUCUGCUGCUCCUGUGUGGUCUGGGGCAACAGGAGAUGGAUGGAAGCUCAAGUCCAGCCAUUUCUUGUUGUCCUGUCUCCAGGAGAGCACUGAGGCCACAGCUGUCCAAACUGUGCCAGGGAAUGCCUGUCUCCGAGGCUCCGAUCAGCUCUGACUUUUUUAUGCCUCUGAUUUCUUUUUUCCCUUGUCUCUCAUGAUUGACAUUUGUCUGUUCUGGGCCUUGUUUGCUUGCUCUGCACUUGUGGGGAGCCUGGAGCAGUGCGGUGUUUUCAUGUCAGGCGGGUUAAGGGUGAGGAACAUUACACAUGCACACUGAUUUAUGCCUCAGAGGCUGCAAAUCGUGUCAAGUGUGAUCUCAGCACAGCUCUGCUCCAUGACUCAAGCACUCGGUGCAAUGUUACACUCUCAGACAUCAAUCCUCAGCCAGGCAAGGGAGAACUCCUCCAGAGCAUCCAUAAAGUCCUGGGCUGGGAGAGUUGUUAGUUAUUCAUGAGAUAAUAAUGGUGUUUGCAAUGUUCAUGCCAAAGCCAGAAUCCCAUAAUCACUGAGGCUGGAAAAGACCUCCAA